GACGAACGCUGGCGGCGUGCCUAAUACAUGCAAGUAGAACGCAGUUGCGAACGGGUGAGUAACGCGUAGGUAACUGCCUGGUAGCGGGGGAUAACUAUUGGAAACGAUAGCUAAUACCGAUUAUACCCAGAUGGACUUGCGUUGUAUUAGCUGGUUGGGGGGGUAACGGCUAACCAAGGCAACGAUACAUAGCCGACCUGAGAGGGGGUUCGGCCACACUGGGACUGAGACACGGCCCAGACGCCUACGGGAGGCAGCAGUAGGGAAUCUUCGGCAAUGGACGGAAGUCUGACCGGGCAACGCCGCGUGAGUGAAGAAGGUUUUCGGAUCGUAAAGCUCUGUUGUAAGAGAAGCGGUAUCUUACCAGAAAGGGACGGCUAACUACGUGCCAGCAGCCGCGGUAAUUC
This 407-nucleotide ribosomal RNA is filed under the name uncultured bacterium. RNAcentral describes it as "partial 16S ribosomal RNA". It matches the Rfam family "Bacterial small subunit ribosomal RNA", at positions 28 to 526 of the family's 1533-position model. The record is from RNAcentral.